Molecule: unclassified non-coding RNA, 382 nt
Filed under: uncultured Elusimicrobia bacterium
Lineage: Bacteria; Pseudomonadati; Elusimicrobiota; Elusimicrobia
Description: contains 16S-23S intergenic spacer region
Source: RNAcentral
UCCUUCUUAUCGAAGGCAGUUUUCGAAGAGUGCAUCCCUUACGGGAUUAGCAACAUCGAAUGGGGGUUGCGCUCGUUGCGGGACUUAACCCAACAUCUCACGACACGAGCUGACGACAACCAUGCAGCACCUCUGCAGACUCCCUUGCGGGUCGGCUCCUGUUUCCAGGUUCCUACCAUCUGUAGUUCAAGCCCAGGUAAGGUUCUUCGCGUUGCGUCGAAUUAAACCACAUGUUCCACCGCUUGUGCGGGCCCCCGUCAAUUCCUUUGAGUUUCAACCUUGCGGCCGUACUCCCCAGGCGGUUCAUUUAAUGCGUUAGCUGCGACGCGGAAGGGGUCGAUACCUCCCACAUCUAAUGAACAUCGUUUAGGGCUAGGACUAC